Long non-coding RNA from Pollicipes pollicipes, 211 nucleotides. RefSeq lists it as uncharacterized. The record is from RefSeq and is a predicted model, not a curated record. The transcript is spliced from 3 exons. NCBI's taxonomy places the organism in Eukaryota, Metazoa, Arthropoda, Thecostraca, Pollicipedomorpha, Pollicipedidae.
AAGAGCCUGUAGCGUCAGCACACGCACGAGUGCGGUACUGUGGGCUGUCCGAGAGACUGGGUGAAAACCGCUGUUUUGUUGCAGCGUUGUUCAGCUCGCAUUGCCGGAGCCCACGCAAGGCUGUGCUCUUUUACCUGAGGUAGAAUCUCAAACUGGGCUUUCAUCAGAAGACGUCUGAACAAAUGGACUCGGAGGUGCGCCGACGCGCCGG